UGCGCAGGCGGUUGAGUAAGACAGAUGUGAAAUCCCCGAGCUUAACUCGGGAAUGGCAUAUGUGACUGCUCGACUAGAGUGUGUCAGAGGGAGGUGGAAUUCCACGUGUAGCAGUGAAAUGCGUAGAUAUGUGGAAGAACACCGAUGGCGAAGGCAGCCUCCUGGGACAUAACUGAGCUCAGGCACGAAAGCGUGGGAGCAAACA
This 205-nucleotide ribosomal RNA is filed under the name uncultured bacterium. Its description in RNAcentral is "partial 16S ribosomal RNA". It matches the Rfam family "Bacterial small subunit ribosomal RNA", at positions 568 to 774 of the family's 1533-position model. The record is from RNAcentral.